UUGUGCCUACGGGAGGCAGCAGUGAGGAAUAUUGGUCAAUGGCCGGGAGGCUGAACCAGCCAAGUCGCGUGAGGGAAGACGGCCCUACGGGUUGUAAACCUCUUUUGUCAGGGAGCAAGGUGCAGGUCGGGACCUGCUGUGAGAGUACCUGAAGAAAAAGCAUCGGCUAACUCCGUGCCAGCAGCCGCGGUAAUACGGAGGAUGCGAGCGUUAUCCGGAUUUAUUGGGUUUAAAGGGUGCGUAGGCGGCAUUAUAAGUUAGUGGUAAAAUAUUGGGGCUUCACCUCACUACGCCAUUAAUACUGU
This 305-nucleotide ribosomal RNA is filed under the name uncultured bacterium. RNAcentral describes it as "bacterial SSU rRNA". It matches the Rfam family "Bacterial small subunit ribosomal RNA", at positions 333 to 636 of the family's 1533-position model. The record is from RNAcentral.